GCAAUUUGAGGCUCCAAACAAAUGUAUGGAUGUCAAAUUUGGAUUCCGGAAGUCCGAGAAAUUAUGUCAUUGUCAAGGAGGAUCCGAGUUUUCUAUUGUAAAUUUUUACGUUUUUACCACGAUAAAUGUGGUAAUUGUAAAAUUAUAAGUUUUUAUCAUGUUAGGUAUGGUAAUUGUUAGUGGAAUGUGUUGGAUAUGCUUGAGUGGAUAAGUUAGGUUUAUGUUUUAUUAGUGGG
RNAcentral lists this long non-coding RNA (236 nucleotides) under Citrus sinensis (sweet orange). RNAcentral describes it as "long non-coding RNA (CSIN_LNC000065)". Lineage: Eukaryota; Viridiplantae; Streptophyta; Magnoliopsida; Sapindales; Rutaceae. The record is from RNAcentral.